UCCCGAUUCCUGCCCUUCCCGCCCCGCACACACCAGGGGGGGGGGGGGUACAACUUGACAAUGUUUCCGAAAUCAUGAUCCAUCCACACCCCCGCUCCCUGCUAAUGACCGACAAGCUGCCACACAAGCUAACAAGAUGGGCGAUCGCACAGUCAACUCAAAUGUGCACUUCUCUUUGGAGCAAUCAGCAUCACGUCGACCGUGCACCUGUCGUCAAUCAGCACUCAUCACUGCCUGCAUGUCAGCCCAUCAGUUCCGGGAAGCCGUCGCCUGAGUAUUGACACUGUAACUCACUGGCCAACACUCGUACUUCCAGGUUUCUGUGCCAUCCCGUCCUCCAGCACACCUCAGCCACCAGUUACACCUACCGAUCUCUCCCGGUUCACUGAAGAUUAUCACAAUCUAUCCCCCAUGUUCAGCAAGGAACAUACUCAUCUUCUCCCGCUCCCCCAAAGAACACCGCCAGCAUGUCCGUCAAGUCGUCCAACGCCUUCUUGAGAACCGCCUCUUUGUGAAACCUGAAAAAUGCGAAUACCACCUCUCCUCCGUUCGCCUUUUGUCUACAUCCGAGCGGAACUAUGACAACGGAAAAUGUGAGCUGCUAGCCAUCGUUUGGGCCCUGGAGGAGUGGAGGCACUGGUUGGAGGGGACCCUUACACCCUUUAUUAUAUGGAAUGACCACAAGAACCUAGUUUAUCUCCGUUCUGCCAAGCGGCUUAAUCCCCGGCAAGCUCGCUGGGCUUUAUUUCUCAGCGGGUUCAAUUUCUGCCUCUCCUUCCGCCCUGGUUCGCGCAAUGGCCAGCCUGAUGCCCUCUCCGCUAUGUUUGCACCCCCCUCCAGUCCAGCGGAACCAGAAUCCAUCCUCCCUUCCUCAUGCUCCGUGGGAGCAGCCACUUGGACGAUUGAACGGGUGAUCAAAGAGGCUCAGAAGACUCACCCGGAUCCAAGACCGGACCUCCUAACCGACUGAAGACUUCAUGGUAUCCCUGUUGACAUUGUAUCGGACCGGGGUCCUCAGUUCUCAUCCUGGGUCUGGAAAGAGUUCUGCAAGGCGAUGGGCGCAGCAGCCAGUUUGUCUUCCGGCUACCACCCCCAAACCAAUGGACAGAUCGAGCGUGCAAAUCAAAGCCUGGAAUCCGCUCUUCGCUGCUUGCCAUCCUGCCUCCUAGUGCACCUUCCUCCCAUGGGUGGAAUAUACCCACAACUCCCUCACCAGACCAGCAGUGGCGGUUCCCACUGUGAGGGAGCACCUUCGGCGAAUCCUAUCUGUAUGGAUGGAUGUCAAGGCUGCUCUGACUCGGUCUACGGAGAAGAAUAAGCGCCUGGAGGAUCUUCAUCAAUCUCCCAUUCCGGAAUACAAGUUCCUCUGCCGGGAACGGGUGGCGCUUUUUGCCUCUUUUUCCAUCUCUCUCCACCACUAUUUACCUCCUUGCCUGCUCACCUGGUUCCAAUCAGCACUCAUCACUGCUUGCACUGCCUUCACAUGUCUCCUGCCACCACGCUCGCUCCAGCCGCAUUGCCAAGUUCCCUCACCUGCUCACGCUCCAGUCUCCCGCACGCUCCCUACUCCGAUGGACCACCAUCGCGUCUUUGGAUUCCUGACCUCGCGCUUUUCCCAAAUAAACGGCAUCCAACUGCUUCCUUAGUCUCAGUCUGCUUUUGGGUCCAGUCCAAUAUCGUUUGGUACAAACCAUGACAUCAUGGCC
This is a long non-coding RNA of Phyllopteryx taeniolatus (common seadragon), 1706 nucleotides long. RefSeq lists it as uncharacterized. The record is from RefSeq and is a predicted model, not a curated record. NCBI's taxonomy places the organism in Eukaryota, Metazoa, Chordata, Actinopteri, Syngnathiformes, Syngnathidae. The transcript has 7 exons.